UCCCCGAUAGUCUAGUGGUGAGGAUAUCUGCUUGUCAAUGAAGAUUCAACGAUUCGCAGGGGACCGGGGUUCAAUUCCCCGUCGAGGAG
Transfer RNA from Colletotrichum fioriniae PJ7, 89 nucleotides. It matches the Rfam family "tRNA". Rfam says of the family: Transfer RNA (tRNA) molecules are approximately 80 nucleotides in length. Their secondary structure includes four short double-helical elements and three loops (D, anti-codon, and T loops). Lineage: Eukaryota; Fungi; Ascomycota; Sordariomycetes; Glomerellales; Glomerellaceae. The record is from Rfam.